UAGACGGAACGAUACCUAUGUGCCGCGGAGCUUCGGUUGGCUACGGAURGCCGGCUUCGGCCGGUGAGUAAGGCCGUUCGUGACAGGGCCGGGGCGCGGCCGGAUGAUGGCCGCCCCUCUCCUAUCUCGCACCGCAUGUUUUUGGAGUACCUGGUGCUAAAUGACCUGCAGACGACCUGAUUCUGGGUCGGGGUUUCGUGAGUAGCAGAGCAGCUCCCUCGCUGCGAUCU
Molecule: ribosomal RNA, 230 nt
Filed under: Elassoma zonatum (banded pygmy sunfish)
Lineage: Eukaryota; Metazoa; Chordata; Actinopteri; Centrarchiformes; Elassomatidae
Description: partial 28S ribosomal RNA
Source: RNAcentral